GGCCUAAUGGCCCAAUGGCAAGGCGCUUGACUACGAUUCAUUCGACAUCAAGAGAUUCCAGGUUCGACCCCUGGUUAGGUCA
The sequence is a transfer RNA, 82 nucleotides long. It matches the Rfam family "tRNA". Rfam says of the family: Transfer RNA (tRNA) molecules are approximately 80 nucleotides in length. Their secondary structure includes four short double-helical elements and three loops (D, anti-codon, and T loops). The record is from Rfam.